Non-coding RNA from Podarcis lilfordi (Lilford's wall lizard), 3464 nucleotides. NCBI's taxonomy places the organism in Eukaryota, Metazoa, Chordata, Lepidosauria, Squamata, Lacertidae. The record is from the annotation of a GenBank genome assembly.
UUGGGAAGAGGCAGUUGGGAAAGCAGUUGGCAGACUGAUGGAAAUAGAGAGACAGUUAGUGCAGUUGGUCCUCGUGUGAGGGGAGGUGGAAGAGUUAGGGGCAGGAUAAAAUAAGACCAAGAAGGUAAAGAGUAACAACGUUUUGAAUGCAUUUAAAGUUUAUUUGUGUUUGCAAUAAACUACAAUCUUCAUUGUUAACUUAAGAACCUGACUGAGACUAAGUGAUUUACUGGGGAGGACCUGGUUGGUGGCAGCGGAUUAGUGGUGUACGGGUCAAUAGUCCAUGAGGUGACCAGGGGUUCCGUACGAAUGCAGUGCAUUUUUAACUAUGGAACUCACUCCCACAGGAGACUGGGAUGGCCACCAACUUGAAUGGCUUUAAAAAAGGAUUGGAUAAAUUCAUGGAAUGGUUCCUAGCCCAGAUGGCUAUGCUCUGUCAGCACCGUUAGAAGCCUCAAUACUUCUGAAUAACUGUUGCUGGAAACCACAGGAGGGGAGAAGUCUCUUGCGCUUGGGUUCUGCUGGAUUAUUUACCACAAGAAUCUGGUUGGUGACUGUGAGAACAUGAUGCAUGUCUCUUCUUGUGCUUUACGCUCUUAUGUCAUCCUCUCCAACUCUCCUCAGUGCAGGAACUCUAGAGCUAGAUCAUGCCUGACAGCUGAAUUUCCAGUGGCUGACUGAGGAGACAUUACUAUUUCUUUAGGCAGCCCUGUUUAGGGAAGCUUUUAAUGUUUGAUGUAUUUGUGUAUUUUAAUAUUUGGUUGGAAGCCACCCAGAAUGGCUGGGGAAGCCCAGCCAGAUGGGCGGGGUAUAAAUAAUAAAUUAGUAGUAGUAGUAGUAGUAGUAGUAGUAAUUUAUUCCAGCAAGUAGUUAAAAAUACAGAAGCAAUAAGAAGCAGUGAGGAGACAAGCCCAAAGAUUUUUGCUUCAUGUUUCUUGCUUCGACCUAGGGGCUCUUAUUUAUUCUGCCUCAGGACCUAACAUUAGACAGAGUGAAGUGCCCGCCUCAGGUGACUGAGUUUGGGUGUCAUGAAAGGGUGGCAAAUUGUUAGCUGUAUCGAUGAAAGCUUUGGGGAUUUUCUGACUUGAUUGCCAAAAAACUUGACCAGCCUUGGGUACUAUGCACCUUGACUAAGGUGUGUGCAUGUGUGCAGGGGCAUAAGAACUGAAGAAGAGUCUACUCAAUCAGACCAAAAGAUAAUCUAGUCCAGCAUCUUGUUCUUACAUUGGUCAGCUAGAUGCCCAUGGGAAGCCCAAAAUCAGGACCUGAGGGAAACAGGCCUCUCACCACAUAAGAUCUCCAGCAACUGGCAUUCAGAUUCAUAUAGCAUUAUCCUCCAUGAAUUAGUCUAAUCUUCUUUUAAAGCCACCCAAGAUGGCGGCCAUCACUACUUCUUGUGGGGGUGAAUGCCAUAGUUUAACUAGGUGCUAUAUGAAGAAAUACUUUCUUUUGUAUGCCCUGAAUCUCCCAGCAUCUGGUUUCAUUGAGUUCCCUGGGUUCUAGUGUCAUGAGACUGGAGAGCAGAGGCAAUUUCAGGCUUCCUCAACCUCGGCCCUCCAGAUGUUUUGAGACUACAAUUCCCAUCAUCCCUGACCACUGGUCCUGCUAGCUAGGAAUCAUGAGAGUUGUAGGGCAAAAACAUCUGGAGGGCCGAGGUUGAGGAAGCCUGUUCUAUUUUCUAAUGUGAUGGGCCUAAGUAGGUUUUGCUAAUGUACUGACAUUUUAUUGUUUCUUCAGUCCAUGUCAAGAAGGCCAUCUCAAGAAGAUUUACUUCAGGCAAUACCAUGAGGGGAAAUAGAUGAAGGCAGAAACUAAGGUCAGAAUGCUGUAGCAAGCUUUUUUGUGUUUUUUUUAAGUGUUGUUUUGCUUUGUUCCCGGAACUGUACAUCCAAAGCAGAACUAUUUGCAAAAUAUUCCACAUUUGCUACUUUUUACCUUUGUCAUUUUAGUGUCCCAUAUUAUUAGUGUCCCAUAUUAUUAGUGUCCCAUAUUAUGAGACACUAAAAUGACAAAGGUAAAAAGUAGCAAAUGUGGAAUAUUUUGUGGGAAAACCUCAUUUUUAUUUUGCAGCUAAAAUUAAUUCAGCAAAAAAACAAAACCUCUUUAAAAAAAAAAAAAAUCCAAUGUAAUUAGAUCAGUGCUGAUUUUUAAAAACUCCUGGCAAUAGCAAUUGAUUUGUCAGUAUUAAGAUGCCUUUCAAAUUUCUGGUUGCUUCAGUUUCAGUCACUAUUGCAGUUAAACUGCUCCGCUGUUCUGAAAUUAGAACCAUUUAAAUGAUAAAGUUUUAUAAGAACAACAUCUUCAUCUGCCAUUUUUUAUUGUCUCUAAAUAGUGAUCUGGCCCCGUCAUUUUAUGCUAUAGGCAGGUGGCCGCAUAUACAAUACACCCCAACAAAAUAUUUUAAUGCUGUUUAGUUAUUUAAUUAAGGAUAAUUUCCAUUGUGUUUAUUUAUACCAAAGCUAUUAAUAUGAAUUCUUAAUUGAAUGUAUUUGCGUGUGGUAGUGUGUGUAGUUUCUCCAGUAUCUGCAUUUUUAGGCACACUAUACCUGAAUAUGUUCAUUUUUGCACACAUUGCGUGCCUGAAAAACGGUACUGCAAAAUUCAGAGAACUGUGAAUUUUGAAGAAUGGCUGUGUUGUUGUUUGCAUAGUGUUUCAGAAAGUCCAAAUUAGGUAUAUUUGCCUUUCAGUGUGAACUGAAUCAAAUAUAUUCCCCCUCCUUACCAAAGCUGGCAUUUAACCUGGUGUAUGGAACUUUAAAGAGAAACAGCAAAAGGAAGGAACAUGGGCUGCACAAAUAUUUCAAAUUAAACAAGUUUUAAAUGUAAUAGGGGGGAAAGUGUUGGACACAAAUCUCCUGAAUUGAAAUGACUAACUUCCUGGAUGGGUGAAACAGAGCAUGGCAUAAAUCUUAAAUAAAAUAUGAAGACUCAAGAGGAAUUUGUCUCUAGAGGAUUAGUUGCAUGCUCUAUUUCCUCUCAAUAAACAUGCUUCAGGGUGAUGGGCAAUCACCUUUUUUUGAGUCAGUGAAGGUGUGCUAUCUCUGUGAUGCAGAUAUAGUCAAUCAUCAUAAACCUGUUGAACUAGGUACUUCAAAUGUAGUGUCUAUUGUUUUGCAGGUAAUUCAAUCAGGAUGUUGAAAGAGUGAUUUCCAUUCAUUGCACCAACGGUCUGAAAGACGGAUGGUUUAAUUAAUCCAACUACAUUCCUAUAAAUAAACAAUGCAGGGCAGUUAGCAGGCUACUUUGCUCAUAGUAUUAUAGAUUUUUUUGUUAGCAUUCUUGAGGAGUACCAUUUCGUACUAGAUCAAUUCAACCAAAGGCUGACAAUAUAUGAUUCCACCAUGCCACUUUCAAGAAAUGACAAGAACAACCAUUACAACAAGAAAAGAAAAACAUGCCAAUGUACAUACUAUCUACUGUUUCCAACCUAAUUUUAAAUUAAACAUUCAACUUCUUUUUCCCCA